AACGCUGGCGGCGUGCCUAACACAUGCAAGUCGAGCGGGGAGAUCCUCGGGAUGAUCCUAGCGGCGGACGGGUGAGUAACACGUGGGCAACCUGCCUCAUAGAGAGGAAUAGCCUUCCGAAAGGGAGAUUAAUACCUCAUAACAUUGCAGUUUCGCAUGGAACAGCAAUUAAAGGAGUAAUCCGCUAUGAGAUGGGCCCGCGGCGCAUUAGCUAGUUGGUGAGGUAAUGGCUCACCAAGGCGACGAUGCGUAGCCGACCUGAGAGGGUGAUCGGCCACAUUGGGACUGAGACACGGCCCAGACUCCUACGGGAGGCAGCAGUGGGGAAUAUUGCACAAUGGGGGAAACCCUGAUGCAGCCAACGCCGCGUGAGUGAUGACGGCCUUCGGGUUGUAAAGCUCUGUCUUCAGGGACGAUAAUGACGGUACCUGAGGAGGAAGCCACGGCUAACUACGUGCCAGCAGCUGC
RNAcentral lists this ribosomal RNA (468 nucleotides) under uncultured bacterium. RNAcentral describes it as "bacterial SSU rRNA". It matches the Rfam family "Bacterial small subunit ribosomal RNA", at positions 32 to 518 of the family's 1533-position model. The record is from RNAcentral.